GGAGGGUUGAGAUGAAUUUGACCGCGGAGUAGGGUCGUGCAUGUGCGGGCCUCUGAGAUUGGCGGAAACAUAAUAGGGUAUUUUUGGCUAAAAUUUUAUAGGGUGGGGAUUUUUGAAAUUCUGAAUCAACAGGACAAGCAGCGGCCUUCAUCUUCUAGUUCAAAACCUUGAGAUUCAUGGAAGCUGAGGCCGAAGUCCACUGAAGUCUUUUUGUGGUAUAGUGCUUUCUGUAUGUCUAUGGUCUAUCUGUUCUUUUGCUUUUUGUUUAUGUAGUUCUAGAUUAAAGCAAAAAGCAUAUUUUUUCUAGCUAGAUUUUAUGUGGUUUGGAGUUUGGGCAGUAAGUUGUUUCCAGAAGACUCACUUUGUCCACCUUCCCCUCGAGUUCUAGAGUUUCAUGUCUCUACUUUCGCUUUCCCGGUUUUGCUGUUAAAAUUUCUCUUAUCUAACAAGACCGACGAUACUCCCAUAUACGAAACAGAGGUGUCUGCUUCAUUUGUUCGUCAGGGUAAUUUGGCAAAAAUUGCUGGAAAUUUAACUUAGUUUAGUUUGUUUAUGAAUCGGUCUAUUGUUCUCUUAUGAGUUACGAUACUAAUUUUGGGUUUCCUUCUGAUUUAGUAGCCAUAGUGAUUGAUGCAUGCGCUUAUUUUUAGACCCUUUGAAACCCCUAUUCUUACAUGCAUUUUUCGUCUUGCCAAGCUACUUGUAUUUCGGAGGUUGAAUCUACUUUUAUUUGCAAGUGUUCCUUGUUGAAUUCUCCUCCACCUCAUUUAUUUAUUUUUUCUUGUGUCACACUUUUUGCUAAUAAAUCAUGUAUUGAGACCACAUGAUUUGUUUUUUCGAGCCUUACUUUGCACCAUUGCGUAGAAUUUGUUAAUGAUCAAUGCCAUAGAUCAAUUAGUUACAUUUUAGUAGUUCUAUUGUCUUUGUGAUUUGCUCAUAUUACACUCCGUCAGAGGAUAUGGAAUUCAUCAGACAGAUGAAUGAUUUGGGGCUUCCUGUUUCCUUCAGCACAAACAAAGAGGCAAGUCCAGAUUUUUCUUUUUCCUUUUUAACUUUUGUUGUUUCUAUAGUGACAAUGGUGUUGCAGUGUAUUUAAUAUGUUAUCAAUGCUGUAUUGCUCUGCAACACAAUGUUGCAUUGUUGCAUAAGAAGAUAGCCAUCCGACAUCCGAAUAUAAUUUCUCUUAUGGGCCAUUGCAUUCACAAAGAAACUAUAUUUUUUGUUUAUGAAUUGAUGCAUAAUGGAUCUAUUGAAACACAAUUGCAUGGUAUCACUUUAUUUCUUAUCCAAGGUCAGUGGAAAGGAUGUUAAAAGAUAGUGAAAGAGUAACAGUUUAAAUUUGUCACCUUGCCCUAGAGGCAGCAAUGUGAGUUUAUCAGUUUGUUAAGCAACACUCAUUUAUUUUUAUUUUUUUAAGUUCUUCUCAUUUACCUGAUUUUGUAGUUUCAUGUAAUCCAUUCUAAUUUUUUGUCAUCCAUUGACUCCAAUUUUGUGAUGUAGAGGCUUAGAAUAUCUACAUGAACACUAUAAUCCUCAAUGAUCCAUAGAGAUUUUAAGUCAUCAAAUAUUCUUAUAGAUUCAAACUUCAAUGCAAAGGUAAAAAAAAAAGUCUGAAUCAAUGAGAUUAUCAUAUUUUUUCACCAAUAAUGUUUUAUUGUUAAAAUUGAGACCAAUCGGUCUCUUAUUAAGGCUCUUUAUAAUCAAUAAUAUGUUAUAUAUUGUUGAUUUACAAUUUUUCAUUAUUAAUCUCUUGUAUAACUCUUUAAUUCCUUAUUUCAUACAUAUUUUGACAUUUUGUCUUGAUUCUGAUUUGGGUGAUUCAACUCAAUUGGUAUGCCAAUUGAGCUUAUUUAUUACGUGUUGAUUUUUGUUUUUCUCUUCAUUUAAUGUCUUUUGUGAACCCUGUUGAACUUUAUAAUGUGCAUAUUCUAGUAGUUAUAAACUUUUGUGUAAAACUUUUCUUCCAUUUUUUCUUUUCCCCUAAAUUUAUCUGGUAGACUUUUAAGGGAUACUAUACUAGUACACCGCAUUCUGGUUGUAGACCUAUCAUAUGUGAUAUUUAUGUCAAUUUAUACUAGUACACCGCAUUCUUUUGGACAAUCAGAAUAACACUAGAAAUAUCCUUUGGUACCUCAAGGUUUCACCACCUUGAAUAAUUCGUGGUUUCACCACUUUGGCGGGUCGGCAGGCUGCUGUUCAGCUUCCCAAGAAUAAUUCAUGGUUUGGCGGGGUUGGGGAAGUACAACCAUUCUAUAAGAUUGUAAAGAUGCUCUUACAAAUUCCAUAUGGAAGCAUCAAAUUUGGCCUCACCAAGGGAAUUUUACCUAUUGGAGUCCCAUAAAAAUGCCUCUGCUUGGGUAUCUCAUAGUUUCAACUCACGUUACAUGGACACAGAGCCAAUGCUCACUGAUAUGGCUAUUAUGAUUUAUAGAUUUUUGGGAAGUACAGGUUUCACAUGAAUGUAUCUUAUUAAUGGGGAUGCCAUCAUACAUUUCAGCAUACAUAUCUAUUUAUGCAUGUCCAAGGGAAACAUUGAAAAUCUUUCAUCCAUAUCCAUAUUUAUUGGACGUGUUCAAUAAAGGCAUUGCACUUACAAUUAAAGUGUCUAAGUAACAUGGUUGAAAGUUAUCACCACCUAUCCAUGGUUAUGUAGUUGGCUGUUGUGGCAGUCCAGUCGACUCAAACAAGCUUAUUCCUUCAAUGGAACUAGAUGGUGGUUCUGGUCCCUAUCCCUACAGGUCAAAGGUGGGCACAUUUACUUGUUGAAUGUGUAAUCUCAUAUAUGAUCUAGAGCUAGGGGUGCAGGGAUAAGGGGGCAGUAGCAAUUUUGUCAUUUUUUGGGAAAUUUGUUUCAGAAGGUAUAUGUUGCUCUUUGUGAACUAACAUUCUCUCUAAUAUUUGCAGAUGUAAAAGAUAUAAAAUGUGUGAUCAAUUAUGAUUUCCCGUAAAGCCUUGAAGAUUAUGUUCACAGGAUCAGAUGAACAAGUAGUGCAAGUGCUAGAGGGACUGCUUUUACCUUAUUUACUCAUGCAAAUGCAAAGUUUGCCAGAGAUCUUAUUAAGAUCCUACAAGAUGGCAGACAAGUCGUUAGUCCAACAUUGGUUGCAAUGGCCCGGUCAAGUGGUUCUCAUGGUGGAGGUUCAGGGGGGAACUUCUGCUCAAGGGGAUGGGGAUGUGGUGGUUUUGACAAUCGAGCUUGUUUUGAUUUCUGGAUGCAACACCGUACCACUUGGUACAAGGAAGCCUUGGUAGCGCCUAUUCUUCAGUGGGACGGUGAACUGUGCUGACAACAUAGGUGUGAAUAACCUAUACAUCAUUUUUGUGAAAGGGAUCAAGGGUCGUCUCAACAGAUUGCCGUCAACCUGUGUUGAUGACAUGAUGAUGGCCACCAUGAAGAAGGGGAAGCCUAAUCUCAAGAAAAAGGUCAUGCAUAUUGUCAUUGUUCGAUAACAAAAGCCAUGGUGCCAAAAGGAUGGUGUCUACAUGUACUUUGAAGGUCAAUUAUUUUUCAUUUUGUUCUGUUGUUUUCUUUCUUUGUUAUGUUUUAUGUUUUCUUUUUGUUCCCUUUCAAAUGCACCGGUAUAUCUAAUCAAAGUUUUUUUCAUUUUUUCUCUUCUUUAUUGUUUUUUUUUUUUCCAUGAGAUUUUAAAGCUUCAUGUCUUUAAUCUGAUUAUGAUGGCUCUUUUUAUUGUAUUCGUCAGUAACUUGUAUUUUGUUAGCAUCGAAGUAACUUGUAUUA
Molecule: long non-coding RNA, 3739 nt
Organism: Nelumbo nucifera (sacred lotus)
Lineage: Eukaryota; Viridiplantae; Streptophyta; Magnoliopsida; Proteales; Nelumbonaceae
Source: RefSeq, a predicted model, not a curated record